Long non-coding RNA from Sinocyclocheilus grahami, 141 nucleotides. RefSeq lists it as uncharacterized. NCBI's taxonomy places the organism in Eukaryota, Metazoa, Chordata, Actinopteri, Cypriniformes, Cyprinidae. The record is from RefSeq and is a predicted model, not a curated record. The transcript is spliced from 3 exons.
UUUACAGCCGGUCACUUCCACAACAUCUACUAGUUCAACAUCUACAGUUUCUUUACAGCCAGUCACUUCCACAACAUCUACUAGUUCAACAUCUACAGCCUCUUUACAGCUGGUCACUUCCACAACAUCUACUAGUUCAAC